GAAUACUCCAGGGGGUAGAGCACUGGAUGGGCUAGGGGUCCCCACAGGAUUACCAAACCUAACCAAACUCCGAAUACCUGGAAGUACUAUCCGGCAGACACACGGCGGGUGCUAACGUCCGUCGUGAAGAGGGAAACAACCCUGACCGCCAGCUAAGGCCCCCAAAUCGUGGCUAAGUGUGAAAGGAUGUGAGAAUCCCAAAACAACCAGGAUGUUGGCUUAGAAGCAGCCAUCAUUUAAAGAAAGCGUAACAGCUCACUGGUCUAGAUAAGGGUUCUUGCGCCGACAAUGUAUCGGGGCUCAAGCCACGUGCCGAAGCUGCGGGUGCAUCGCAAGAUGCGCGGUAGCGGAGCGUUCCGUAAGCCUGUGAAGCGGUACCCGUGAGGGGCCGUGGAGGUAUCGGAAGUGAGAAUGCUGACAUGAGUAACGGAAAGGGGUGUGAGAGACACCCCCGCCGAAAGUCCAAGGGUUCCUGCGUAAAGCUAAUCUGCGCAGG
RNAcentral lists this non-coding RNA (496 nucleotides) under Reticulomyxa filosa. Its description in RNAcentral is "Bacterial large subunit ribosomal RNA". It matches the Rfam family "Bacterial large subunit ribosomal RNA", at positions 888 to 1378 of the family's 2925-position model. Lineage: Eukaryota; Foraminifera; Reticulomyxidae. The record is from Rfam by way of RNAcentral.